GUGGGAGGAUUGCUUGAGCCCAGGAGUAUGAGGCUGCAGUGAGCUGUGAUCAUGCCACUGCACUCCAGCCUGAGUGACAGAGUGAGACCCUGUCUCA
Molecule: microRNA precursor, 97 nt
Organism: Colobus angolensis palliatus
Lineage: Eukaryota; Metazoa; Chordata; Mammalia; Primates; Cercopithecidae
Source: Ensembl